This 493-nucleotide ribosomal RNA is filed under the name uncultured bacterium. RNAcentral's name for it is "bacterial SSU rRNA". It matches the Rfam family "Bacterial small subunit ribosomal RNA", at positions 1037 to 1529 of the family's 1533-position model. The record is from RNAcentral.
GGUGGUGCAUGGUUGUCGUCAGCUCGUGUCGUGAGAUGUUGGGUUAAGUCCCGCAACGAGCGCAACCCUUAAGCUUAGUUGCCAGCAUUAAGUUGGGCACUCUAAGUUGACUGCCGGUGACAAACCGGAGGAAGGUGGGGAUGACGUCAAAUCAUCAUGCCCCUUAUGAUUUGGGCUACACACGUGCUACAAUGGACAAUACAAAGGGCAGCUAAACCGCGAGGUCAUGCAAAUCCCAUAAAGUUGUUCUCAGUUCGGAUUGUAGUCUGCAACUCGACUACAUGAAGCUGGAAUCGCUAGUAAUCGUAGAUCAGCAUGCUACGGUGAAUACGUUCCCGGGUCCUGUACACACCGCCCGUCACACCACGAGAGUUUGUAACACCCGAAGCCGGUGGAGUAACCAUUUAUGGAGCUAGCCGUCGAAGGUGGGACAAAUGAUUGGGGUGAAGUCGUAACAAGGUAGCCGUAUCGGAAGGUGCGGCUGGAUCACCUC